This 128-nucleotide non-coding RNA is filed under the name Thalassospira xiamenensis. RNAcentral's name for it is "Glycine sequence". It matches the Rfam family "Glycine riboswitch aptamer", at positions 9 to 86 of the family's 94-position model. From Rfam's summary of the family: This family represents the bacterial glycine riboswitch. Glycine riboswitches usually consist of two metabolite-binding aptamers domains with similar structures in tandem. The record is from RNAcentral. Lineage: Bacteria; Pseudomonadati; Pseudomonadota; Alphaproteobacteria; Rhodospirillales; Thalassospiraceae.
CUCUGGAGAGAGAAAGCGGUACGGGGCCAACGCCCGGCACCAUAUUUCCACCGAAGGAUGAAGCCAUGGCGUCAAAGACUUCUUUGUUUUUGGCAACAGGGCGCACAAUCUCAGGUCAAGGGACAGAG